This 295-nucleotide long non-coding RNA is filed under the name Gossypium barbadense (sea-island cotton). RNAcentral's name for it is "long non-coding RNA (GBAR_LNC022949)". The record is from RNAcentral. Lineage: Eukaryota; Viridiplantae; Streptophyta; Magnoliopsida; Malvales; Malvaceae.
UGGGAGCCAUCUUCAACCUUCUUCUUGCCAUCGAUAUUCUUUGGAGGGGAGAUUAGAGCCGUUUGAAGAGAUUUGUGAGAUCUUUCGGGAUUUCAAGGAUCUUUAGGACUUAUCUUUUAUUCUUGCUGUUCAAUUUCUUUUCUUUAUUUCUGUUGAUGCCGAAUCUAUAUCUAAUUUCUUUGCUGUUUUUGUUUGUGUUUCAGCCUUGAUUCAAACUCCAAGAACUCUUCAUUUAAUUGGUUCUUUUAUUGGCAACAUCUAAUCGAUUCAAAAUUCCCCAAAAUUUAGGGUUCUU